UACGUAGGGGGCAAGCGUUGUCCGGAAUCAUUGGGCGUAAAGCGCGUGUAGGCGGUCCGGUAAGUCCGCUGUGAAAGUCCAGGGCUCAACCCUGGGAUGCCGGUGGAUACUGUCGGGCUAGAGUACGGAAGAGGCGAGUGGAACUCCUGGUGUAGCGGUGAAAUGCGCAGAUAUCGGGAGGAACACCAAUGGCGAAGGCAGCUCGCUGGGACGGUACUGACGCUGAGACGCGAAAGCGUGGGGAGCAAACAGG
This 253-nucleotide ribosomal RNA is filed under the name uncultured bacterium. RNAcentral's name for it is "partial 16S ribosomal RNA". It matches the Rfam family "Bacterial small subunit ribosomal RNA", at positions 524 to 776 of the family's 1533-position model. The record is from RNAcentral.